Physeter macrocephalus (sperm whale) is the source of this 3445-nucleotide long non-coding RNA. RefSeq lists it as uncharacterized. Lineage: Eukaryota; Metazoa; Chordata; Mammalia; Artiodactyla; Physeteridae. The transcript has 3 exons. The record is from RefSeq and is a predicted model, not a curated record.
CAAACCAUAGUAUGUAGGGGCCAAGUUUCAUAAUGUCUGCAGCUCAGUGUCAGAUGGGAUAGAUGGGGCAGUGGACAGAAGGAGAGCAAGCAAAUAUAGCGAAGAUGUUAACAUUUGCUGAACUCAGAUAGCAGGGCUCAGUGGUUAUUAUACGAUUGUCCCCAUUUUUCUGUAUGCUUAAAAAUUUGCAUAAUAAAAAUUUGAAGGUGGUCAGAAGGUACAAACUUCCAGUUAUAAAAUAAAGAAGUCCUGAGGAUGUGACGUAUAGCGUGGUGACUGGUUAACAAUAUUGUGUAUUUGAAAACUGCUAUGAGUAGAUCUUAAAAGUUCUCAUCACAAGAAGAAAAAGUUUGUAACUAUGUGUGACCAGACUUAUUGUGGUGAGCAUUUCACAGUAUAUACAUACAUCAAGUCAUUAUGUUGUACACGUGGAACUAAUACAUGCUAUGUGACAAGUAUCUCAAUUUAAAAAUUUUUUUGACGUGGAGGAGUGAAGUUGAACGGCCCUAAGCUAUCUUUGGUUCUGCUUGCUAACUUCGCUCUGUUGUGUUUCUUUUUGGUGAAAAUCUGAGGAUCCUAAAACAAUUAUUCUGUUUGACUUUAUAAUUAUGUAGGCGUCAUCAGCAGCUUCACUCUUCAUGUAGGUUCACAUAGCCCCUGUGCAUUGUGUGUUACUGUUCUGUGCGUCUCUGGCAGUUGCUCUAUUAUCCCUUCCAGCAUCCUCAAAGGUGUAGACACCUUAUGGACCCUACCUCGCAUGUAAUUCAGAGGGAUUGCUUAGUAAGGCGUGUUGCCUCAGGUUAAUUUAUCUUUUGAGAGUGACCCAUAAUGGUAUGCUUAGGGUAUGUUAUUAAACUACUUUUUGGUCGGAGGAUGCAGGCCUUUUCUCUAUCUAGUUUAUGUUAUACUUUACCGUAGCUUAAGAUUUUUAAUAUGGUUCUGGAUAGAUUUACUUUUUAUCUAGUUUAUGUUAUACUUUACCGUAGCUUAAGAUUUUUAAUAUGGUUCUGGAGAGAUUUACUUUUUAACCUUUUAGUUUCCUUUAGAAGGUAGGAUACUGCCUUUUCAGUACCCAUAUAAAAGAUGAAAUUGUUCUCAAGGCUUAAAGUUAAAAUGAAAAAAUUCCAACUGCUGUAAUUCUUUUAAAGUUUUGAUAAAUUGAGUAGAUUUAUCUGAUGUUAACCAAAGCUCGAAAAGAAGGCAAGGGUGCAGUAUGGUACGGUGACCUCAAACAUCCCAGACAAGCUAGAAGAUCAGAUGACCCAACUCGCUGUUGUCUCGGUUACUUUAGCACCUUCGUCAGAUCAGCAAAUACCUUAUUCGACGUGAAAUAAUCCUUAAAGGCAGAAAGAUUCUUGUACCCAAAUUAGGUAGAUACAGUGAUGAUAUGCAUAUCCUUGGAAAGCAGCAGUCCUGACCAGUUGUCUAGACACUUCUCAGCCCUCGGGUGUAGCUCUUGCGGCACUGCUCGCCUUGUAGAGUGUGCUGAAGACAAUUGGAUCCUAAGCCUAGUGAGUUUCUCCCCAUCAGGUGGGGAGAAACCAAGUAAUUCUAAUCCCUUAUGUUAAGAGGUGUGAUUGAUUCUAAUCCACAUAUAUACUAGAAUGCUUACUACUCUUGGUCUGUGUAGUAGGAAGAGAGAAUUUGUGUAGUAAAGAGACAGCCACAUCAAUAGUCACGUGAUCAGAGACCAAUCUUUGUGAACUGCUCAAAUUUUUUAUUGAUAAAUUUUCAAAUGUAGCUUUGUAUUAGCAAAAAUCCAGUAUUUUAAAAUAAACUGUCCUCAGUGGAGUUCAGUCAGAUUUGUUGAUUACAAAGUGCACAGUGGUAAAAAUUAUCAAGUCAGUGAGAAUACUGCACUUUGACUAUCACUGAACUAUGGGAUGUGUUUGCAGUUCUGGCUUAUUUUCUGUGGAGGCCUUCACAAAUUGUAUUUCAGCAAUUUGAUGGAAGAGAAUGCAUUUUGGCAGAGUCAGAUCACACAGACUGCUGUUGAUGUUUUUAGAAGGAUAAUUUUGGAGGCAGAAAAAAUUGAUGGGGCCGCUUCACAAGGAAAGUCUUCCUGCUCAGUGAUGUGAUCCUACUGCAAAACCUGAGGGCACUGGGAAGCUGGCCGGCCUGAGGAAGCAACCUGCCCAUUAUCCUUUCAGAUAAACUCGGCUUCAUUUCUCUUCUGUUAACCUGAAAGAUUUCAUUUGGGUCAGAGCUUCUCCCCCAGCCCCUCCUUUCAGAUUAUGUUAAACUCUGACUCGGUCCAAAUGAGUUCACUUCCAUUUUCAAAUUUUGAGCAAUCGUAUUUUCAAUUUAUAUAUUGUAUUUCUUAAUAAUAUUAUGACCAAGAAUUUUAUUGCAUUAAUUUUUCAGUGUAGUUUGUUGUUUAAAAUAAUGUAAUCAUCCAAAUGAUACAUAUUGUUACACUACUAUUAACUAGGCUUCAGUGUGUCAGUGUUUAUUUCAUUGUGUUAAGUGUACACUUGUAAAUAAAACAGCUGCAAACCCUAGCCGUCGUGCUACUCAGAGUGGCUUUUAAAGAAGAAAACCUGUCCUGAGGGCUUCUUUCCCUGCCUCCCAGGAGGCUCCAGGUCGCAUUCCAGGAGCCAGUGGAGGAUGUGGCUGCAGACAGGCGAGUGGCCCGCCAGGCGGCUGUGGGCAGCUGGGGUCGAGUGCCCGAACUGGGGGCGUUCCUGUUGACUGAAGCCGAGUGACCCUGGGGGGGUCGGUGAGGGGGGUUGCUCCCCAGUACUGACUGUUCUCCCCACCUUGGUUGGAAUGUUUCAGGCAGGUAGGGCUGCAGGCUUACUUAGAGCCUUCUGGUCACCCCCUUGCUUGUCUCUUAGCUACUUGAAGAGAAGAGGUACUGUCCCUCCUUUUACUUAGCUUGGUGUCCACGGCAGACAGGAUCUGACUCAGAAAAUAGAUGGGCCUGUCACUAUCCCAAAACCUCCAGGAGUUUAAAGGAUGGGGAAGGUUGCCUGAAUAUGCCAUUAUGGACUUCCCUGGUGGCACAGUGGUUUGAGAAUCCACCUGCCAACGCAGGGGACACCGGUUCGAGCCCUGGUCCAGGAAGAUCCCACAUGCCGCGGAGCAACUAAGCCCGUGCGCCACAAUACUGAGCCUGCGCUCUAGAGCCCGCGAGCCACAACUGCCGAGCCUGCAUGCCACAACUACCGAAGCCCGUGUGCCUAGAGCCCGUGCUCCGCAACAAGAGAAGCCACCGUAAUGAGAAGCCAGCGCACCGCAACCGAGAGUAGCCCCUGGUUGCCGCAACUAGAGAAAGCCUGCGUGCAGCAAUGAAGGCCCAACAUGGCCAACAAUUAAUUAAUUAAUUUUUUAAAAAAGAAUAUGCCAUUAUUUUGAAUCUUUAUAGUGUUUGUGUCUUACCAUUCCAGGAUGAAAUUUGAGCCUUAGAAGACCUCCACCAAAUACUUUUUAAAUAAAAAUGAGU